GCGAGUGAAGCGGCAAUAGCUCAAAUUUGAAAUCUGGCUCUUUCAGGGUCCGAGUUGUAAUUUGUAGAGGAUGUUUCGGAUAAGGCUUGGGUCUAAGUUCCUUGGAACAGGACGUCAUAGAGGGUGAGAAUCCCGUCUUGGUCCCUAUGCCGCAUCCAUGUGAAACUCCUUCGACGAGUCGAGUUGUUUGGGAAUGCAGCUCAAAAUGGGAGGUAAAUUUCUUCUAAAGCUAAAUAUUGGCCAGAGACCGAUAGCGCACAAGUAGAGUGAUCGAAAGAUGAAAAGCACUUUGAAAAGAGAGUUAAACAGUAUGUGAAAUUGUUGAAAGGGAAGCGCUUGCAACCAGACUUGUUUCGAACGGUUCAACCACUGUUUUCAGUGGCCCAUUCCGUUCGUCCAGGCCAGCAUCAGUUUGGGUGGGUAGUUAAAGGCCUUGGGAAUGUAUCUACUCCUUCGGGUGUAGACUUAUAGCCCUCGGUGUAAUGUACCCUACCUAGACUGAGGUACGCGCAUCUGCUCGGAUGCUGGCGUAAUGGUUGUAAGCGACCCGUCUUGAAACACGGACCAAGGAGUCUAACAUCUAUGCGAGUGUUAGGGUGUCAAACCCUUACGCGGAAUGAAAGUGAACGGAGGUAGGAACCCGUUAGGGUGCACUAUCGACCGAUCCUGAUGUCUUCGGAUGGAUUUGAGUAAGAGCAUAGCUGUUGGGACCCGAAAGAUGGUGAACUAUGCCUAAAUAGGGUGAAGCCAGAGGAAACUCUGGUGGAGGCUCGCAGCGGUUCUGACGUGCAAAUCG
RNAcentral lists this ribosomal RNA (796 nucleotides) under Pseudophaeomoniella oleae. Its description in RNAcentral is "LSU rRNA". It matches the Rfam family "Eukaryotic large subunit ribosomal RNA", at positions 89 to 900 of the family's 3401-position model. The record is from RNAcentral. Lineage: Eukaryota; Fungi; Ascomycota; Eurotiomycetes; Phaeomoniellales; Phaeomoniellaceae.